GAGAGAGAGAGUAUAAUCUAUGUUAGAAUCUAAUCUGGAAGAGGGCAUAAUUGUACUAAGAUUAUUUGAAUUAUUUCUUCUGUUCGUUUGGUUUAUGGAGCUUGUACUAUGGACAUGUUUUCGACAGCUGCCAGAACUUCGUUUUAAAUUCUAUUGGUUUUACAUUUGCAAAUUCCUUAUAACAUUCUACAUUUGCCUGCCAUAAUAUUAAUAAUUAUAUUGUUCAUCAACCACAAAUCAUAAGAACUCAAUUUGCUGCAGGCUGUUCCUGAUGGGCUUGAAGAA
RNAcentral lists this unclassified non-coding RNA (285 nucleotides) under Hevea brasiliensis (rubber tree). The record is from RNAcentral. Lineage: Eukaryota; Viridiplantae; Streptophyta; Magnoliopsida; Malpighiales; Euphorbiaceae.